This 2903-nucleotide ribosomal RNA is filed under the name Proteus mirabilis. Its description in RNAcentral is "23S ribosomal RNA". It matches the Rfam family "Bacterial large subunit ribosomal RNA". Lineage: Bacteria; Pseudomonadati; Pseudomonadota; Gammaproteobacteria; Enterobacterales; Morganellaceae. The record is from RNAcentral.
GGUUAAGCGAAUAAGCGUACACGGUGGAUGCCUAGGCAAUCAGAGGCGAUGAAGGACGUGCUAAUCUGCGAAAAGCGUCGGUAAGGUGAUAUGAACCGUUAUACCCGACGAUAUCCGAAUGGGGAAACCCAGUAUCCAAUGGAUACUAUCAUUAACUGAAUCCAUAGGUUAAUGAGGCGAACCGGGAGAACUGAAACAUCUCAGUACCCCGAGGAAAAGAAAUCAACCGAGAUUCCCCUAGUAGCGGCGAGCGAACGGGGAGCAGCCCAGAGUCUUAAUCAAUAGCAGUGUCAGGAGAACGGUCUGGAAAGUCCGGCAGUAAAGGGUGAUAGCCCCGUAUCUGAAGAUGCUGUUGUUGUGAACUCGACGAGUAGGGCGGGACACGUGUUAUCCUGUCUGAAUAUGGGGGGACCAUCCUCCAAGGCUAAAUACUCCUGAUUGACCGAUAGUGAACCAGUACCGUGAGGGAAAGGCGAAAAGAACCCCGGCGAGGGGAGUGAAAAAGAACCUGAAACCGUGUACGUACAAGCAGUAGGAGCCUCUUUAUGGGGUGACUGCGUACCUUUUGUAUAAUGGGUCAGCGACUUAUAUUCUGUAGCAAGGUUAACCGUAUAGGGGAGCCGUAGGGAAACCGAGUCUUAACUGGGCGAAUGAGUUGCAGGGUAUAGACCCGAAACCCGGUGAUCUAUCCAUGGGCAGGUUGAAGGUUGGGUAACACUAACUGGAGGACCGAACCGACUAAUGUUGAAAAAUUAGCGGAUGACUUGUGGAUGGGGGUGAAAGGCCAAUCAAACCGGGAGAUAGCUGGUUCUCCCCGAAAGCUAUUUAGGUAGCGCCUCGUGAAUUCAUCUUCGGGGGUAGAGCACUGUUUCGACUAGGGGGUCAUCCCGACUUACCAACUCGAUGCAAACUGCGAAUACCGAAGAAUGUUAUCACGGGAGACACACGGCGGGUGCUAACGUCCGUCGUGAAGAGGGAAACAACCCAGACCGCCAGCUAAGGUCCCAAAGUCAUGGUUAAGUGGGAAACGAAGUGGGAAGGCUCAGACAGCCAGGAUGUUGGCUUAGAAGCAGCCAUCAUUUAAAGAAAGCGUAAUAGCUCACUGGUCGAGUCGGCCCGCGCGGAAGAUGUAACGGGGCUAAACCAUGCACCGAAGCUGCGGCAGCGACACAAAGUGUUGUUGGGUAGGGGAGCGUUCUGUAAGCCUGCGAAGGUGUACUGUGAGGUAUGCUGGAGGUAUCAGAAGUGCGAAUGCUGACAUAAGUAACGAUAAUGCGGGUGAAAAACCCGCACGCCGGAAGACCAAGGGUUCCUGUCCAACGUUAAUCGGGGCAGGGUGAGUCGACCCCUAAGGCGAGGCUGAAAAGCGUAGUCGAUGGGAAACGGGUUAAUAUUCCCGUACUGGUGGUAACUGCGAUGGGGGAACGGAGAAGGCUAGGUUGUCCGGGCGACGGUCGUCCCGGUUCAAGCAGGUAGGCAGAGUGAUUAGGCAAAUCCGGUCACUUAAUGCUGAGAUGUGAUGACGAACCACCAAGGUGGUGAAGCAAUUGAUGCCCCGCUUCCAGGAAAAGCCUCUAAGCUUCAGGUUACCAACAAUCGUACCCCAAACCGACACAGGUGGUCAGGUAGAGAAUACUCAGGCGCUUGAGAGAACUCGGGUGAAGGAACUAGGCAAAAUGGUGCCGUAACUUCGGGAGAAGGCACGCUGGCGGUAGGUAAAGUCCCUUGCGGACGGCGCUGAAGCCAGUCGAAGAUACCAGCUGGCUGCAACUGUUUAUUAAAAACACAGCACUGUGCAAACACGAAAGUGGACGUAUACGGUGUGACGCCUGCCCGGUGCUGGAAGGUUAAUUGAUGGGGUCAGCCGCAAGGCGAAGCUCCUGAUCGAAGCCCCAGUAAACGGCGGCCGUAACUAUAACGGUCCUAAGGUAGCGAAAUUCCUUGUCGGGUAAGUUCCGACCUGCACGAAUGGCGUAAUGAUGGCCAGGCUGUCUCCACCCGAGACUCAGUGAAAUUGAACUCGCUGUGAAGAUGCAGUGUACCCGCGGCAAGACGGAAAGACCCCGUGAACCUUUACUAUAGCUUGACACUGAACAUUGAGCCUUGAUGUGUAGGAUAGGUGGGAGGCUUUGAAGUGUGGACGCCAGUCUGCAUGGAGCCAACCUUGAAAUACCACCCUUUAACGUUUGAUGUUCUAACCUAGGCCCAUAAACUGGGUCGGGGACCGUGUCUGGUGGGUAGUUUGACUGGGGCGGUCUCCUCCUAAAGAGUAACGGAGGAGCACGAAGGUUGGCUAAGCAUGGUCGGACAUCAUGCGGUUAGUGCAAAGGCAUAAGCCAGCUUGACUGCGAGAGUGACGGCUCGAGCAGGUACGAAAGUAGGUCUUAGUGAUCCGGUGGUUCUGAAUGGAAGGGCCAUCGCUCAACGGAUAAAAGGUACUCCGGGGAUAACAGGCUGAUACCGCCCAAGAGUUCAUAUCGACGGCGGUGUUUGGCACCUCGAUGUCGGCUCAUCACAUCCUGGGGCUGAAGUAGGUCCCAAGGGUAUGGCUGUUCGCCAUUUAAAGUGGUACGCGAGCUGGGUUUAGAACGUCGUGAGACAGUUCGGUCCCUAUCUGCCGUGGGCGUUGGAAGAUUGAGAGGGGUUGCUCCUAGUACGAGAGGACCGGAGUGAACGCACCACUGGUGUUCGGGUUGUCAUGCCAAUGGCAUUGCCCGGUAGCUAAGUGCGGAAGAGAUAACCGCUGAAAGCAUCUAAGCGGGAAACUUGCCUCGAGAUGAGUCUUCCCUGUCGCUUUAAGCGACCUAAAGGAACGUUUAAGACUAAGACGUUGAUAGGCUGGGUGUGUAAGCGUAGCGAUACGUUGAGCUAACCAGUACUAAUGAACCGUGAGGCUUAACCUG